Non-coding RNA from Danio rerio (zebrafish), 471 nucleotides. The record is from RefSeq and is a predicted model, not a curated record. Lineage: Eukaryota; Metazoa; Chordata; Actinopteri; Cypriniformes; Danionidae.
CUAAAAAUUUUACUGAUGUAUUUAAUUGAGCUUAACUGAAAUUAAAGUUAUUGUAAGAAUUAUGUUCUAAUGAUUCAUGAAAUUUCCAAACAGGAUUUCUCUAUAUUUCCACAGGCACAUGCAUCACAUGAAGAAAAAACAAGAACAGCCGCCCUAAAUUCAUAAAUGAGAGAUUAAAUUGAUAAUCCAAAAUUACAUCUGAUACAAACAUAGGCACAGUCGAAAGAUUAAACACCCAAACCAGAUUGUCCACAUGGAGAGGGUGUUCCUACUUUCUCAGAUUUCUCAUGUAAAUCGAUGGGACCCAGGAACCAGGAUUCUUAAAAAUAUUUUCCUCUGGUUUCAAUGAAAGAAAGAAACUCAAAGGUUUAAAACCACACAAGGUGAAUUAAUCUUUUAGUUUAGGAUAUCCUGGGGACAUUUAAAUUCCUAACAGCAGGGAGAAGAACAACAGAUAAAAGAUAAAGCAAU